UGAGGAAUAUUGAGCAAUGGGCGCAAGCCUGACUCAGCAACGCCGCGUGGAUGAAGAAGGCCUUCGGGUUGUAAAAUCCUUUUCUGCGGGACGAUGAUGACGGUACCGCAGGAACAAGUUCCGGCUAACUACGUGCCAGCAGCCGCGGUAAAACGUAGGGGACGAGCGUUAUCCGGAUUUACUGGGCGUAAAGCGCCCGUAGGCGGCCUUGUAAGUUGGCUGUGAAAGCUCCCGGCUUAACUGGGAGAGGUCAGUCAAAACUGUGAGGCUGGAGGCUGAAAUAGGAGAGCGGAAUUCCCGGUGUAGUGGUGGAAUGCGUAGAGAUCGGGAGGAACACCAGUGGCGAAAGCGGCUCUCUGGUUCAGCCCUGACGCUGAGGGGCGAAAGCGUGGGGAGCGAACGG
Molecule: ribosomal RNA, 403 nt
Filed under: uncultured bacterium
Lineage: Bacteria
Description: bacterial SSU rRNA
Rfam family: Bacterial small subunit ribosomal RNA
Source: RNAcentral